This 210-nucleotide non-coding RNA is filed under the name Chloropicon mariensis. The record is from RNAcentral. Lineage: Eukaryota; Viridiplantae; Chlorophyta; Chloropicophyceae; Chloropicales; Chloropicaceae.
ACUCACAGGAGCAACAGAGGGCGGCAGUGUCAGCGAUGAACCAAGCCGUGAGUGCCAUGAACAUGCAACCAAACUGGUGGCACGACCCGAUGAAGGUCAUGGGGAUUCAGCACAUGCCAAGCUUAGUGCACGCCUCUCAGAGCGGGUCUCAGAUGCAGCCAAGUAGCCAGAUGGAGUCCACGAUGAUAGGCAGCCACCACCCUAGCUUGU